CGGGAAUUUUGGGCAAUGGGCGAAAGCCUGACCCAGCAACGCCGCGUGAGGGAAGAAGUAUUUCGGUAUGUAAACCUCGAAAGAAUGGGAAGAAUAAAUGACGGUACCAUUUAUAAGCUCCGGCUAACUACGUGCCAGCAGCCGCGGUAAUACGUAGGGAGCAAGCGUUGUUCGGAUUUACUGGGCGUAAAGGGCGCGUAGGCGGCGCGGUAAGUCACUUGUGAAAUCUCUGAGCUUAACUCAGAACGGCCAAGUGAUACUGCUGUGCUAGAGUGCGGAAGAGGCAACCGGAAUUCUUGGUGUAGCGGUGAAAUGCGUAGAUAUCAAGAGGAACACCUGAGGCGAAGGCGGGUUGCUGGGCCGACACUGACGCUGAUGCGCGAAAGCCAGGGG
RNAcentral lists this ribosomal RNA (393 nucleotides) under uncultured bacterium. Its description in RNAcentral is "bacterial SSU rRNA". It matches the Rfam family "Bacterial small subunit ribosomal RNA", at positions 356 to 766 of the family's 1533-position model. The record is from RNAcentral.